ACUUAGUCUGAACACUAUAAAAAA
RNAcentral lists this microRNA (24 nucleotides) under Brachypodium distachyon (stiff brome). RNAcentral describes it as "bdi-miR1878-5p". Lineage: Eukaryota; Viridiplantae; Streptophyta; Magnoliopsida; Poales; Poaceae. The record is from miRBase by way of RNAcentral.